RNAcentral lists this ribosomal RNA (433 nucleotides) under uncultured bacterium. RNAcentral describes it as "partial 16S ribosomal RNA". It matches the Rfam family "Bacterial small subunit ribosomal RNA", at positions 29 to 507 of the family's 1533-position model. The record is from RNAcentral.
AACGAACGCUGGCGGCAGGCCUAUCACAUGCAAGUCGAGCGAGGACUUCGGUCCUAGCGGCGGACGGGUGAGUAACGCGUGGGAACGUGCCCUUUGCUUCGGAAUAGCCCUGGGAAACUGGGAGUAAUACCGGAUGAGCCCUUUGGGGGAAAGAUUUAUCGGCGAAGGAUCGGCCCGCGUUGGAUUAGGUAGUUGGUGGGGUAAUGGCCUACCAAGCCGACGAUCCAUAGCUGGUUUGAGAGGAUGAUCAGCCACACUGGGACUGAGACACGGCCCAGACUCCUACGGGAGGCAGCAGUGGGGAAUCUUAGACAAUGGGGGAAACCCUGAUCUAGCCAUGCCGCGUGAGCGAUGAAGGCCUUAGGGUUGUAAAGCUCUUUCAGCUGGGAAGAUAAUGACGGUACCAGCAGAAGAAGCCCCGGCUAACUCCGUG